RNA transcript from Glycine soja, 1494 nucleotides. RefSeq lists it as uncharacterized. The record is from RefSeq and is a predicted model, not a curated record. Lineage: Eukaryota; Viridiplantae; Streptophyta; Magnoliopsida; Fabales; Fabaceae. The transcript has 6 exons.
AUAAGAAGAUGGUUUUCAUCAAAAUCGUUGUUGUAGACUGGACAAGUUUAAAGCCAAAUGGAGGUGGAGCCCCUGAGCCAUAGUCACUGAAGAAGCUAAGCUUUAAGUCUAUGAAGCGCUUUCUUGAUCUCUUCUCUCCCAUUCACUUACACCUCACUCCUCCUGAUGCCGAAAGGAUCAACAAGCAGAGACAACAACUUUUAGAUUUGAAAAUAAUAUGAAAGAUGUAUGUAGGUGUGGGAUCAAUGUUAGAGGCACCUGAAUCUCCUGUAGAAUGGCCUACGCAAUUCAAGCAACAACAAACAGAAAUAGUGGAAUUGUGGCGAGCCUACAAUGUAUCAUUGUUUCAUAGGACUUACUUCUUUCUUUUGUUUAGAGGUGAUCCAACUGACUCCAUUUACAUGGGGGUGGAGCUUAGAAGAUUAUCUUUCCUCAAAGAAACAUUUGCCUGUGGAAAUCAGUCCAUGAACGACACUCACACCUCACAUUAGCUUCAAGAUACAUUGAAAUUGUGAAGGAAAAAGGAUUGGAGAUAUGUCAACCAGCGCUUGACCCAAAUUUGAUAGAGAUACAUCAUAGAAUUAUAGUUAGAGCAAGGACUAAAAAAGUUCUUGGGUGACUUAUCAUUAGAUGCUAUUGAUAUAUACUUGUUAAUUAAUUUCAUCUUAAAUCUGGUUUUGUUCUUACUUUUCUACACCACCGUAUGCUUCAAUAUUGACCCAUCAACUCUCACAGGAAAGCACACCUCUCAUUGUGAGGAUAGGAAAUAAUCCUGGCUGCCCCUGUGGUGGUACUCAUGUUAUUAAAAUUUAUCUUCUUACUCUCCAAGCCUUAAAUGGAUAACAGUGAAGAUGCAGUUAACAUGGCUAAGGUGUUGGCAUUGAAGGAAGGACUCAUGGUAGGGAUAUCAACUGGAGCUAACAUAGUUGGAGCACUCAGAUUGGCUCAGCUGCCUGAGAACAAAGGCAAACUUAUUGUGGUAAAAUAAGCAAGUUUGGUGAAGUUUGAUUUUUGCAAUUCGUUGAGCCAUCCUCCUCUGGCUAAGCACAUGAUUCGCUGGACGCAGCAUGAUUGACUGAGCGCAUAGAAGAACCUGGAAGAAGAUGACCUGUACAGGUGCGCUGAGCAAGAGUCAAACUCGCUAAGCGUAUCGCUUGAACCUCCAGGCUAAGCGAAGAAGAGGCACACUAAGCCAAAUGUCACUUAAUUUGGCUAAGCGAACCAGAAUGUGGCUGAGCGAAUGACUAAAAAUCAGCAACACUAUUUAAAGCCUAAAAUCAGAAAUGGAAGGGAGUUCUCAAUUUUUGGCGUUUUCUCUGUUCUUGGAAGCAUUCAUCUGAGUGGCUGAGUGGUGGAGAGAACUUUUGGUGUGAAGAUCUUGAGGGACAACAGAGAUUGAAGAGGAAGUUAUCAUGCAGAGUAUUGAAUGAGAGUUUAAGUGAUUGUGAGGUUUCUAGAGGUGAAGGAGACAUCCUCACCACUUGUACUUCCCAA